RNAcentral lists this ribosomal RNA (468 nucleotides) under uncultured bacterium. RNAcentral describes it as "partial 16S ribosomal RNA". It matches the Rfam family "Bacterial small subunit ribosomal RNA", at positions 28 to 507 of the family's 1533-position model. The record is from RNAcentral.
GACGAACGCUGGCGGCGUGCUUAACACAUGCAAGUCGAACGGAAAGGCCCUGCUUUUGUGGGGUGCUCGAGUGGCGAACGGGUGAGUAACACGUGAGUAACCUGCCCUUGACUUUGGGAUAACGUCAGGAAACUGGGGGUAAUACCGGAUAGGAGCUCCUGCUGCAUGGUGGGGGUUGGAAAGUUUCGGCGGUUGGGGAUGGACUCGCGGCUUAUCAGCUUGUUGGUGGGGUAGUGGCUUACCACGGCUUUGACGGGUAGCCGGCCUGAGAGGGUGACCGGCCACAUUGGGACUGAGAUACCGCCCAGACUCCUCCGGGAGGCAGCAGUGGGGAAUAUUGCACCAUGGGCGGAAGCAUGAUGCAGCAACGCCGCGUGCGGGAUGACGGCCUUCGGGUUGUAAACCGCUUCCGCCUGUGACGAAGCGUGAGUGACGGUAAUGGGUAAAGAAGCACCGGCUAACUACGUG